GACGAACGCUGGCGGCGUGCUUAACACAUGCCAGUCGAACGGAAAGGCCUGCUUUCCCUUGUGGAUUGCGGGUACUCGAGUGGCGAACGGGUGAGUAACACGUGAGUGAUCUGCCCCCAACUUGGGUAUAAGCCUGGGAAACUGGGUCUAAUUCCCGAUAGGACUGCAGGGUGGUGCCUGUGGUGGAAAACGAUUUUCUAGUGGUUGGGGAUGAGCUCGCGGCCUAUCAGCUUGUUGGUGGGGUAAUGGCCUACCAAGGCGGCGACGGGUAGCCGGCCUGGGAGGGUGGACGGCCACAUUGGGACUGAGAUACGGCCCAGACUCCUACGGGAGGCAGCAGUGGGGAAUAGUGCACAAUGGGCGGAAGCCUGAUGCAGCGACGCCGCGUGGGGGAUGACGGCCUUCGGGUUGUAAACUCCUUUCGACCGCGAGGAAGCCACCUGGUUGGAAGGGUGGUGACGGUAGUGGUAGAAGAAGCACCGGCUAACUACGUG
Molecule: ribosomal RNA, 494 nt
Filed under: uncultured bacterium
Lineage: Bacteria
Description: partial 16S ribosomal RNA
Rfam family: Bacterial small subunit ribosomal RNA
Source: RNAcentral